CCUUUAUCGCUACAUAAUAUUUUCGGCAACAGAAGGAUCCGUGUCAAAUUUGUUCUUUCCCGGACCCUAACCCUAACCCUAACUCUAUAGAUUUUUGAGCAACUCAAGAACUUGAUCUUUUGCCUUAUUGCAGCCAAUGGGAAGUGAUUCUAGUGAACCCACGCGUCGAAAGCACCACCGCUCCUCCUCGACCGACGAUGCGGAGGAGCGUUCCAAACGCCGCAAACACCGACACCACCGCCACCGGCAUCGCCAUCACCACCACCGGCAUCGAAGCAGUAAAGAUAAAGAAGAAACAACUGCGGUAACUAUCGAGGAAUUGGAGGGUGUACAAAUCGACGAAAUUCACGUUGAAGAAAGGAUGGACAAAAUUGGGGAUGAUGAUGAUGGUGCCUUGGGAGAAGUUUUGGUAUCGGGUGGUUCAGGAUUCGCAGGGGUGGAUUAUGAAAUGGAGGAAGGGGAGAUCGUGGAGGAUGAUGGCUUGGUUGAUUUUGGUAAGGAUUCUGAUAAGUCUAAGAAGAAUUUGCAUUCAGAUGUCGAAUCUGGGGAAAUUGAGACGAAUGGAUACGAUGAUUCUAACAUGGGAGUUAAUGAAGAGAAUGCGGAAAGAGUUGAUAAAACAUUAAGGAAAUUUGGAAAGGACAGUGUGGAUGGCAAAGAAAGUGGUGAGGCGGAUAGAUUUUCUAAUCUGGAGGGUCUUGUAAAUGGGAAUUAUGCACUGAAAUAUGACAAAUCCGACAAUAGAGUUCCCUAUGGAGAUGGUAAGAAGGCAGGUGACUUUCUUGAUGAAGUUGAGCGAAGAAGUCUGAGGAAAGCCUCAUCUUCUGAGAAAAGGCCCAGAGAUGUUUCACGCUCCGACUCUCAUGACAAGUACCUGAAAGAGAGUUCUCAGAGUAAUUUAUCGAGGUCACCUGAAUGGUCUAGGGGAAGGUCUCGCUCCCGAAGCAUUGCACGGGAGGUUUCUGUGGAGGAACCAUAUUGUAUUGAGAUAAAAAAAAAGAGUGAGUCUGAUGAUGAAAGGGUGAAUGCACGUGCAAAAAGCUACAGACACAGCAGCAGAGAUGAUGUAAGAGAGAAAGAAAGGGAGCGUAGUUCUAGCAGAUAUGCGGAGAGAGUAGAAAGGCAUUAUAGCAGGGAGACUCGUGACUCAUACAGGGAGGGCAGUAGAGAGAGGCAUUGGGAUAGGGACAGAACUAGAGAGAAAGAAAGGGAGAAGGAAGAGAUGGAAAAGGAGAGAGAAAGAAACAGAGUCCGAGAUAGAGAUAGAGGGGAGAGGGAGCGGGAUGUGCUGAAGGACAGGGCCAGAGAGAGGGACAAGGAACGGGAGAGGGAUAGAGACCGAGCAAGGGAUAGGGAGAGGGAGAGGGAGAGGGGGAGAGAGAGGGAAAGGGACAAGGAUCGAGUAAGAGAGGAGAAGAACAAGGAUAGAGACAGAGGUAGAGAAGAGGUUAGAGAUGGCAGAAGGACUAGAAGCAGAGAUAAAGAUAGAGAAAAUGAGAGUGAUCGGGUAAACAGGCGCCAGAAAUAUGAUAACGACGAGGAUGGUUAUAGAGAUAGGGAUAAUGAUUCUGGGCACAGAAGAUAUUCCGAAGACUACCAUAGGGAUAGGGCAAGGAGAAGUGGUCUAGAAAAUAUGAGCUCUGUAGAUAAACAGGAGGAACAGGCUAAGGAGAGCCAUGAAAGAGAAGAUGACAGACAAGAGGACUAUCAAGAAAAGAUUACAAUGCAACUUGCAGAACAGGAAGAAGAUGAUCUUGAGAGAAUUAAGGAGGAAAGUAGGAGGCGCAGGCAAGCUAUCCUAGAAAAGUACAAAAAUCAACACCAAAAGAAUGAAAAGCAGGCACAAGAUAUGGCUAAGGAUCAAGGUGGAGAGUCUUCUGCACAAGUGGUGUCGGCUGAAAAUGUACCAGAAAAGUCUGAAAAUCGGUUGGAAGGAGCAGAUACCUAUAUUCCUGAAUCAUCCUUUUCUCUGGGGAAAUCGCCUUCCCAAAAUGGUUUUUCUGCUUUACAGGUGCCUAGUGGCGCUGGCGGACUAGGCGAGGGUAGCCCUAAGAGUGAGAGAUCGAAUGAUAUGUUUUGUGAUGAUAUAUUUGGAGAAUCACCUGCUGGAGUUCGUAAAGCGGGUAAAGGAGAUGGUGUAGCUGUUGAAAAGAGUGGACUUAAUGACAAUUGGGAUGAUGCAGAAGGUUAUUAUGGCUACCGAUUUGGAGAAGUACUUGAUGGCCGGUACGAAAUAAUUGCUGCCCAUGGAAAAGGCGUUUUUUCUACUGUUGUUCGUGCAAAGGAUCUGAAGGCUAAACUUGGUGACCCUGAAGAAGUAGCAAUCAAAAUCAUACGUAACAAUGAAACAAUGUACAAGGCGGGUAUGGAAGAAUUGGUCAUACUAAAGAAGCUAGUUGGAGCUGACCCUGAGAACAAGCGCCACUGUGUUCGUUUUCUUUCCACAUUCAAGUACCGAAACCAUCUAUGUUUAGUUUUUGAAUCUCUUCACAUGAAUUUAAGAGAAGUUCUCAAGAAAUUUGGUCGCAAUAUUGGUCUGAAGCUUACUGCUGUGAGGGCAUAUGCUAAACAACUUUUCAUAGCUCUGAAGCAUCUGAAAAACUGUGGUGUUCUUCAUUGUGAUAUCAAGCCAGAUAACAUGCUGGUAAAUGAAGCAAAAAAUGUUUUGAAGCUUUGUGACUUUGGUAAUGCCAUGUUUGCUGGUAAAAAUGAAAUCACCCCCUACCUUGUGAGCCGUUUUUACCGUGCCCCUGAGAUCAUUCUAGGCCUGCCGUAUGACCAUCCCAUGGAUAUGUGGUCGGUUGGUUGUUGUUUGUUUGAGCUUUACACUGGGAAGGUUCUAUUUCCUGGUCCUACAAAUAAUGACAUGCUUCGUCUUCACAUGGAAUUGAAAGGUCCUUUCCCAAAAAAGAUGCUCCGGAAGGGUUUAUUUACAGAUCAGCAUUUUGAUCAAGAUUUGAAUUUUCUUGCAACAGAGGAGGACCCAGUCUCAAAGAAGGCAAUAAGGAGACUGGUUGUGAAUAUCAAGCCAAAAGAUUUUGGCACAUUAAUUUCUGGUUCUCCUGGCGAGGAUCCAAAAAUGGUAGCCAAUUUUAAAGAUCUUAUGGAAAAAAUAUUUGUGUUGGAUCCAGACAAGAGGUUGAAUGUAUCACAGGCCUUGAGCCACCCUUUCAUCACUGGCAAGUGAACCAUGAUGCUGAUUCUCUGACUACAGAACUGCUGCAUUAGAUACUUAUACAUUUUGGUGUCGUCUCAAAACUGAAUUAUCUAAUCAUUGGGCAUUUAUCUGUCUUUGUCUUCUCUCUGUGGGAGCAAGAAUCCAGGAGACAGUGGUUGGGCAUGUCAAGUUCUUAGAGAAGAUCUUGGGGAGACAAUUUACGGGAGUUCUUUGCAUGGAUUGUUUUCUAUUUCUAUUGAAAUCUACCUGUGCUAUGAGGAAACCAUUCAGUGGUUUAGAUGAUUAAAGGCACUCUGGAGAAGGUACCUUGGUUUGUUUCUUAGGAGUUUACAUGUGGAACCUUUGACAACUAAAGUUAAUGUCAAGUCUAAAUUAUUUCUAGGGUCAUUUUGGAUUAUUUGAGUAUUGGCAGUCUUCUUCAGAAUAUUUUGUGUCUGGUGUUUUAUACUUCUUUGACUAGUUGAGUGCCUUAAUUCUGCUUGUAUUUAUCCUCUCAACAUAUUAGAUCUGCAAGGCAUUGCUUAAAAAAAUUUAUUUUUCACUCCUCCUUUAUUGAUUCAUCUCGGUGUUGUCUAGAACUUCUGAUAAGGCUUGUUUUUAUUCUCUACUUCUAUUUAGGUUAAACCAUGUUUACCCUCUUCUGUAUGGGAAUUGUGGGUGACUAGUUGUUGCUUCUUUUUUAGAAUUUUAACAGUAUGUGCUAUUUGUCUGAUCCAUGGUUUGGUUGUUCUGGAGGAUUAUAUGCCCUGGAGAUAUUCGGAUGCUGCUUGAAGUCUGAAAAAGAUUCCUGUUUGAGCUUUCUCAUUUCUGCACCACUGGUGAGUGCCCCCCUCUUUGCUCAUUUCCUGUAAUGGGUAUCUUUUAGCUGAUAAACAGGGUGAUUAUGCUAAGAUCCUCAUGGUUUUCAAGUAGUCAUCCAUUUUGUGAUUCAGAGUUAUUGGUCAGGAAAUGUUGAUUUAUAGACAUAUGGACUUGACUGUCAUUGUUGCUUGUGGAUGAUGGUAUUGUUGGUCUUGGCAAAAAUGGUAUCCUCCUGCAGUUUUCAAUUAUUUUUUUGCAAUUUUGUGAAACUGAUAUUUCUUAUAGAGAAAGAUUCUUCAGCGAGGAUCAUAAUGUUAAGCAGAACUAUUAUCAAGACACUUUUUAUGAUCAGGAGUAGAAUCAAAUUAAAACUCUCCUAGGCUCAACUAGCUGUUAUAUAAUGAAGACGAAGCUUUUAGUAGAUGCGGGAUGCUUAUUAUCAUUAUGAAUUAUUGAAUUUGAUUGAUACUUGAACGAGGAGCUUUCUGGUUCAUAAUUUUAGAAUUAUGUGUCCACUAACUCCAGAUUGCAGCUUUGCCGCUGACUCUGCAACUGUAUCUAAACUGAAUCAUCUAGUUCUUAUGUAGGAUAGAAAUUUGUGUUUUGGAAAAUAAUUAAGUCUUGAUAGGAGAUUUGUGGUACUUUUAGGAAUGUAAUUGCAUGGUAAUGCUAUUAUGGUAUUGCAAUCAAAACCACACGUUUUGGAGAAUAAAUUGUUGUACUGUGCAAGUCAUCUAAGAAAAUGACUUCUUAAGAUAAGAAAUGCAGACUUGUGGUGCAUCUACAAUUUGUAUUUCCAAUGUCCUAACUAUCUUUUUACUUUCUAGUCUGGAUUAUAGUACAUUACCUUGCAAUUUGCAUAUGAUUUUCUAAUUUCGGUCAGGCUCAGGGUGUUAGGAAGCUUGUUGUUUCAGAUGGUUUAUUCUUCUACUCUUCCAACCAAUAUUUAUGUGGGGACCUUUAUUUGCUUAUUUCCCUUUUUCUUUUGGUUUGUGCAUGCUGAUCAAGUUUGGCAUUGAUCAUUGUGUUAUGUUUUUUCUUUGAUUUACUUGGAUUUGUUGAUUAUAUUGCCACUUUUUUUCCUGCUCAUUUGUAUUUCAAUUGAAAAUUGAAAAUAGGGUACACCUUUUUUUUUUAAUAACGAAAAUAAGGUAUACUUGGAUGUUUCUUUGUGAUCGAUCAUUUAAUGAUCCCAAAAAAUUCUUCAUUCUGCAGAGAUUCUCCAAUUGUAAGGUACAUCUCUGAAAGGGGAAAUCCCCUUGUGCAUUGUUUUGAUGCAUUUGUUUCAUGCACUUCAAAUGGAUUUUAUUCCCCCGCAGCUGUUUUGACAUGUCAUAGUGCUUUUGACACAUUGAAAAGGUGCCCAUAUAAAUAAAAUAUCGUGAAAUACAAAAUGUUUUGAUCUUACAUACGAACUAAAAAUUAUUUGAUCAUGCAUGUGGACUAUUAGGGUGGUCUUACGAUUGACUUGCUCCUUGUACUAGCAUCUUGUCUGCUUUCUGUUAUUCUGAGUGUUCCAAAAUCAUUCGUCCUACACUCUGCAGAAGGGCUUGACAACAAAUGACAUUAUAGACUGAGAUGAGAAGUGGGAGAUAGAAUGUCUUAGGAUUAAUGUUAUGCAUGACUGUUCAACUUUCUAACUGUUAUCUGCUUAUGAGCAGCUGUUGGUAUUUCCCGACAUCUCCCUUGGUGAGUAUGAUUGCUCCAUCAUUUUCUUAUUUUAUGUAUAAGAUUUAUAUUGUAAUGAGGAGCUGCGGUGCUGAGUUGGGUGGGUAAAAGGACAAAUAGUUUGGGGAAUUUCCCAUAUACUUCAGAUACGCUCAGGAAAAUUGGAAGCAUGGUGACCAUAUUCAAUUUUAAGUCCCAAUUUCUGGAGAUGAGGUCAAUUAUGUAAUCAUCCCUCGCUCCCCUGUCCCACCUGUUUCUCAAUAUUAUGCUGAGAUCUGAAGUUCGUCCAGAACUGGAGGAGUAUGUUAGGUUCUGCAUGCCUGGUGAUUGCUUCAUUUCAUUGGUCAAUGGAUUGCAUGGGAGAGCUGUAGUUUGUGUUACAUCGGUGGCGCCAUCUCAUUAGGCAUCAUAAAUAUGCUAGCUUUUUAGGUUGAGGUUCCAUAAUCGAAUUUUAGUUGUUGGAAGAUCAAGUGGUUUAAUGUGGCCUUCUCUUUUCCUCUCUUAUUUUCUCCUUGCGGGGUUUUCCUUGUUUUUUCCUGAACAAAGAAUACAUCAUUUUGUUAAACCUGAAUGUUAUCUACGUAAUAUUCUGUAGUUGUGUAU
Sesamum indicum (sesame) is the source of this 6250-nucleotide RNA transcript. It is a transcript of the gene named Protein kinase superfamily protein, with no coding region annotated. The record is from RefSeq and is a predicted model, not a curated record. Lineage: Eukaryota; Viridiplantae; Streptophyta; Magnoliopsida; Lamiales; Pedaliaceae.